CAAUGACAAUUCAGUCAGAGCUGGACGCUGUACAAAUGUCCAGCUGGAUGGAUAAACCCUGAAAGAACAGUCUGCCAGAAAAACAACAGUCAGAGCAGGAAUAAAAAUAUCUCCAUGGAAGUUCUGCAUGUGUCCUUUGGUGCCUUCUAAGUUGCAUCCUUGCUGUAUGCCAUGACUUUGAAGAUGACUCCAAAACCAAACAGAUGCCAGGAGUGAGUUGACAAAGAAGACUUUCUGCAUACCCUACUGCUCUGCCUGGAAGCUAAAGAAAAUAUAAUCCUUUUGUACGCCACAUGAAGCAGGUGGAAGUCUUUUGCAAUGAGAAG
Corvus hawaiiensis (hawaiian crow) is the source of this 326-nucleotide long non-coding RNA. RefSeq lists it as uncharacterized. NCBI's taxonomy places the organism in Eukaryota, Metazoa, Chordata, Aves, Passeriformes, Corvidae. The record is from RefSeq and is a predicted model, not a curated record. The transcript is spliced from 3 exons.